This 304-nucleotide ribosomal RNA is filed under the name Staphylococcus aureus. RNAcentral describes it as "partial 23S ribosomal RNA". It matches the Rfam family "Bacterial large subunit ribosomal RNA", at positions 1142 to 1451 of the family's 2925-position model. Lineage: Bacteria; Bacillati; Bacillota; Bacilli; Caryophanales; Staphylococcaceae. The record is from RNAcentral.
UCACUAGUCGAGUGACACUGCGCCGAAAAUGUACCGGGGCUAAACAUAUUACCGAAGCUGUGGAUUGUCCUUUGGACAAUGGUAGGAGAGCGUUCUAAGGGCGUUGAAGCAUGAUCGUAAGGACAUGUGGAGCGCUUAGAAGUGAGAAUGCCGGUGUGAGUAGCGAAAGACGGGUGAGAAUCCCGUCCACCGAUUGACUAAGGUUUCCAGAGGAAGGCUCGUCCGCUCUGGGUUAGUCGGGUCCUAAGCUGAGGCCGACAGGCGUAGGCGAUGGAUAACAGGUUGAUAUUCCUGUACCACCUAU